Molecule: long non-coding RNA, 311 nt
Organism: Macrobrachium nipponense
Lineage: Eukaryota; Metazoa; Arthropoda; Malacostraca; Decapoda; Palaemonidae
Exons: 3
Source: RefSeq, a predicted model, not a curated record
UGGGGGAUGAAGUUCAAAUAUGGGUUCGACCGGAAGUGAUGGAGCUUGGAGUUUUACCAUCAUCCCCCCAGAUAAAAUUUCUAUUGAGAUGUUAUCACGUUUGCUCCAGUAUGCUGAAGAUUUGGGUGAGCGUGGAUAUCCAAGAAUGAGUUAUGAUACAUGGAAGCAUAUAGCUGUUAAAAAGAUGUGUAUAUCUGUAGAAUGUGGAAUGGUUGUCUUCUUUUCCUGUCUGCUGUUUUCAAAGUUGCAGCCUGGUAGGGAUAGAGAAUUGGAGGCAUCACUAGCAUCAGCAUUAUCACAAAAAGAAAGAG